Molecule: RNA transcript, 698 nt
Organism: Cydia amplana
Lineage: Eukaryota; Metazoa; Arthropoda; Insecta; Lepidoptera; Tortricidae
Exons: 6
Source: RefSeq, a predicted model, not a curated record
AAUUAUUACCAAAUAGAAGGAGUAAAGUAGUAUUAAUAUAAUGGAUGUCGAAAAUGAGAGCGUAGGACCUUACAUGUCAAAGGAGUCUUCCGUCGGAAAAGCAUUGGCUUCUUCAACAUUCAGUGCAUCAGAGCCAGUCCACGUGUUCAGCAAUUUCGGUGACGGAGAUUGCGGAGAGCCCCUGGAGGCACAUCAUCUUCGCCUGGACUUUACCCCCACGGACGACGACGAUGACUAUUCCCAGAAGAAAUGCUGCGAAUUCUGGAAGUACAUUGAAAGUAGAAGUGACUUAAGAGGCAUGAUGGUUCUGCCGGAAAAAGCAAAAUCUUCCCAGAGUACUGACACAGUCUCCGUCCACAAUGUCCACAAACCAGCUAUGAAGGAGCAGGUAUCAAACCCAAAGACAGCCGUCUCAAUGCUUCAAAUAGUCGAAGAGAAAGGUUUAAUAGAUCGAGCUUUCGAAGCGAAGAUACAACAAUCGCGAUGCACACUGGGUUCUCACGACUAUGAACUGAGCCCGAAGGUUAAACAAACAAGUGAGUUAAAGAGUGCCCUUGUCCCAAUCCCUGCGUGAAGUGCCCAAACGCUCCUACUUCUACUGCCCGUGCACUUUGUGAGGAACUGGGGGCUUGGGAUAUUAACCAUCCGAAGUCAAUCGAGCCGCCGAGCCAUCCCCCCUCUGUUUAACAAGAAAGUAC